UUAUAGAUAUGGUUUAGAAUUGCACGAGAAAGAAGAAGUUGCAGAAGAAAUUGCACGGUUGAGGAGUGGGGUUAGUGCCUUAGCUGAGGCAAAGAAAAACUCAAAAGGGGCUGCAGCACAGCUUCUGGAAGCAAUCAGCAAGCUGGAAGCCAAUAUCAAUCGCAACCUGGAGAGGGCCGUGAAGGAAAAUGAUAGAGUUUAUCUCAUGAGGGUUCCUUCCCAAAGUUCCUUGCCUCUUCUUCCAGCGUUUUCAAUGGUGAAGCCAAUGUCAAUGAAUGAGGUACUAGAUGCAAGCAAGGAAAAGAUGUUUGCAAGUCUUGUUCCAGACAGUAGUGCAAAGGCUCUUUCAAGGUAUACUGAAAUGGUUGAUGACAUAAUCAGGAUACAAGCUGAGAAAUUACAGCAAGCCAGUGAACUGACUCGAGUGAGGCUCAAGGAAAUGGACCUUCCAGAUUCAAUUAUUGCUUUGGAAGGAAAUUUUACACUGCCAACAGAUCUUAAAGAAGAUGUGGAAGCAGUGCAGAUUAGUGGGGGCCCAGCUGGUUUGGAAGCUGAGUUGCAACAACUUAGAGAUUUGAGAAGGGAAUUGCUGGUCCAGACUGAGGAGCUUUUGCAGAAAGAAGCAACAGAAGAUGCUCAAUUUAGAAAUCAAUUUGGUACACGGUGGACUAGGCCUCAGUCCAGCACUUUGACAAAGAACUUGCAGGAUAGAUUAAAUAGAUUUGCAGCCAACCUAAAGCAAGCUGCAGACAGUGAUGGUAGAAUUGAGCGAUCUGUGAGGGAUCAUUCUACACUCAUGUCAAUCCUUGAUCGCCGACCGAUAGAAUCUGCUCUUCCAACUUUGGCUAGGCCAAUAAUGUCUUUGGAUGCCAAU
RNAcentral lists this unclassified non-coding RNA (874 nucleotides) under Hevea brasiliensis (rubber tree). The record is from RNAcentral. Lineage: Eukaryota; Viridiplantae; Streptophyta; Magnoliopsida; Malpighiales; Euphorbiaceae.